This 1122-nucleotide long non-coding RNA is filed under the name Fragaria vesca (wild strawberry). RNAcentral describes it as "long non-coding RNA (FVES_LNC005412)". Lineage: Eukaryota; Viridiplantae; Streptophyta; Magnoliopsida; Rosales; Rosaceae. The record is from RNAcentral.
UACAUACUAUAGCCGACGAAUACGUUAGGGUAUUCGUCGGCUAAAACCUAAAAUUUUUCUAUUACCUACUAUAGCCCUAUCUUCGGUGGUUAUUUUCCGUAAAAUUUUUAGACGACUUCUUGCGUCUCAUCGGUUUGAAACUAUUUUCAGUUGGAGGUCCGGCCAAAAUACGUAAUUUAGACGGUCGAACGACCUUUUCCAUGCGUUUAGGGGUUUGACUUACGAGAUUGACCGUCCGGAUCGAGCCCUUAUUCUUUUCGGAUCAAGUUAAAUUUUUUCCCAUACAUGUAUUUUGUCAAGAUGGUCAGAUCUGACGGUCGGAUUUCUGUUUCUCAAGUUUGAUCAUCACAAUCACAACAUGCAUACUAAUGUUGUAUAACUUGUUUACCAAGUGUUAUGCAAAUGUUCCGUUUCAAAAACAAACUAUACGUAAAACCUUCAAACGCAAAAUAGUCAUGAAAUAAGAUAUGACGAGAAUGUUGAAAUACAUCCACGGUUGAAAAAUCACACUAUUCCGGUAAAUAUUCGGUGCCGAUAGUUGCGGUCAAUACAAUUUUUCAUUCUUUCACCCUAUGAGUAGCCCUAUAUUCGGUGGUUAUUUUGCGUAAAAUUUUUAUACGACUUGUUGCGUGUCAUCGAUUUAAAACUAUUUUCAGUUGAAGGUCCGGCCAAAAUAUGUAAUUUAGACGGUCGAACGACCUUUUCCGUGCGUUUAGGGGUUUGACUUAGGAGAUUGACCGUCCGGAUCGAGCCCUUAUUCUUGUCAGAUCAAGUUGAAUUUUUGGUCAUACAUGUAUUUUGUCAUGGUGGUCAGAUCUGACGGUCGGAUUUCUUUUUCUCAAGUUUGAUCAUCACAAUCACAAUGUGCCAAAUGUAUAAAAUACUUUAGCCGACGAAUUUCAAAGGUUUAGCCGACGAAUUCCAAAGUUUUAGCCGACGAAUUUAGAAGGUUUAGCCGACGAAUUGAUUCUUAGCCGACGAGAUUCUUAGCUUUAGCCGACGAAAUAAUUAUUUCGUCGGCUAAAGUUUUCGGGUUUAACUGCUCAACAGCAGAAAAACCCUAGCCUCCUCCCUCCCUCUCCCGUCUCCGCCUCCUCCCUCCCUCCCUCUCCCGGUCCCNNN